UACGAAGGCAGCAGUGGGGAAUAUUGCACAAUGGGCGAAAGCCUGAUGCAGCUAUGCCGCGUGUAUGAAGAAGGCCUUAGGGUUGUAAAGUACUUUCAUCGGGGAGGAAAAACAAAACUAAUAAUUUUAUUUCUUGACGUUACCCGAAAAAGAAGCACCGGCUAACUCCGUGCCAGCAGCCGCGGUAAUACGGAGGGUGCUAGCGUUAAUCAGAAUUACUGGGCGUAAAGAGCACGUAGGUGGUUUUUUAAGUCAGAUGUGAAAUCCCUGGGCUUAACCUAGGAACUGCAUUUUGAAACUGAAAUACUAGAGUAUCGUAGAGGGAGGUAGAAUUCUAGGUGUAGCGGUGAAAUGCGUAGAUAUCUGGAGGAAUACCUGUGGCGAAAGCGGCCUCCUAAACGAAUACUGACACUGAGGUGCGAAAGCGUGGGGAGCAAACAGGGAUUAGAUACC
Molecule: ribosomal RNA, 453 nt
Filed under: uncultured bacterium
Lineage: Bacteria
Description: bacterial SSU rRNA
Rfam family: Bacterial small subunit ribosomal RNA
Source: RNAcentral